This 287-nucleotide ribosomal RNA is filed under the name uncultured bacterium. Its description in RNAcentral is "partial 16S ribosomal RNA". It matches the Rfam family "Bacterial small subunit ribosomal RNA", at positions 28 to 334 of the family's 1533-position model. The record is from RNAcentral.
GAUGAACGCUGGCGGCGUGGAUAAGGCAUGCAAGUCGAACGUCCCAUGUAUUUAUAUAUGAGAAGUGGUAAACGGGGUAGUAACAGGUAGGGAACAUACCCAUGAGUCAGGAAUAACUGCAGGAAACUGUAGCUAAUACCUGAUAGUCCCUUCGGGGUAAAGAUUUAUCGCUCAUGGAAUGGCCUGCUUCGUAUCAGCUAGUUGGUAGUGUAAAGGACUACCAAGGCUAUGACGCGUAGGGGAGGUGAGAGCCUGACCCCCACCAUUGGGACUGCGACACGGCCCAA